AGCUAUGGCGGCUGUGCGUGGAAGCCCUACGGGGCUGCCGGUGUCCAUUCGGGCCGGUCCGCCAAUCCGCGUACAGUCGCCCCCAUC
This 87-nucleotide non-coding RNA is filed under the name Halomonas ventosae. Lineage: Bacteria; Pseudomonadati; Pseudomonadota; Gammaproteobacteria; Oceanospirillales; Halomonadaceae. The record is from RNAcentral.